RNAcentral lists this unclassified non-coding RNA (223 nucleotides) under Hevea brasiliensis (rubber tree). The record is from RNAcentral. Lineage: Eukaryota; Viridiplantae; Streptophyta; Magnoliopsida; Malpighiales; Euphorbiaceae.
GUUUUCAUUGACUUGGGUAAUCCAAGCAUCGUCGCACUUAUACCAUUGAUUACUUAGCCGCAAGUAGGUGACAUAAUGACCAGCGUCCAAUUUUCCUUUGUGAGUAAUAACAGCAAACAACUCAAACUCCGACGAUGUCUCGUUACAACCAUCUUGUUCAUCUCCAUCAAAAGGAAAAAUCCUAUUCCCAAACCGACUUCUCAAGAUUGAAGAUGAGAGAUAG